GGCUCCAUGGUCAAGCGGUUAAGACACCGCCCUUUCACGGCGGUAACACGAGUUCGAUUCUCGUUGGAGUCACCA
Molecule: transfer RNA, 75 nt
Filed under: [Eubacterium] infirmum
Lineage: Bacteria; Bacillati; Bacillota; Clostridia; Peptostreptococcales; Anaerovoracaceae
Also listed under: 2 other names
Description: tRNA-Glu(ttc)
Rfam family: tRNA
About the family: Transfer RNA (tRNA) molecules are approximately 80 nucleotides in length. Their secondary structure includes four short double-helical elements and three loops (D, anti-codon, and T loops).
Source: RNAcentral